Molecule: ribosomal RNA, 354 nt
Filed under: Gorogobius nigricinctus
Lineage: Eukaryota; Metazoa; Chordata; Actinopteri; Gobiiformes; Gobiidae
Description: partial 12S ribosomal RNA
Rfam family: Bacterial small subunit ribosomal RNA
Source: RNAcentral
UCCGCCCGGGUACUACGAGCCCUCGCUUAAAACCCAAAGGACUUGGCGGUGCUUUAGACCCCCCUAGAGGAGCCUGCUCUGGAAUCGAUAAUCCCCGCUCAACCUCACCCCCUCUUGUUCCUUCCCGCCUAUAUACCGCCGUCGUCAGUUCACCCUAUGAAGGACUAAUAGUGGGCGAAAUCGGCAUUACCCCAAAACGUCAGGUCAAGGUGUAGCUUAUGAGGGGUGAAAAAAGUGGGCUACAUUUGCUGGGUCAGCAAACACGGAUAUCGCGUUGAAACACGCAAUUGAAGGUGGAUUUAGCAGUAAGAGGAGAGUAGAGUGCCCCUCUGAAGCUGGCACUGAAGCACGUAC